GUCACGAUAGCUCAAGUGGUAGAGCAGCGGCGUUUUUAGCCGAAGGUCGUGGGUUCGAAUCCCAAUCGUGACA
RNAcentral lists this transfer RNA (73 nucleotides) under Cimex lectularius (bed bug). RNAcentral describes it as "tRNA-Lys". It matches the Rfam family "tRNA". Rfam says of the family: Transfer RNA (tRNA) molecules are approximately 80 nucleotides in length. The record is from Rfam by way of RNAcentral. Lineage: Eukaryota; Metazoa; Arthropoda; Insecta; Hemiptera; Cimicidae.